CUGAAAAGUACAAUAUCUUCCUGAAUCUUGAAGUUGAUGUAUGCUCUGGCGAAGACAUGGGGGUACAUGCUGUAUAGAAGAAAAACGAACUUAUGCCUGCCCACGCCAUAACCCCACCGCCACAAGGGGGCACUCUGUUCACAACGUUGACAUCAACAAACCGCUCGCCCACACGACGCCAUACACGCUCUGCCAUCUCCCCAGUACAGUUGAAACUGGGAUUCAUCCAUGAAGAGCACACUUCUCCAGCGUGCCAGUGACCAUCGAAGGGAUUUGAGAACAUCCACCAAUCCCAGAUCUCACCUACGAAUGGAAUUAUAAUCUGUUUUAAUUUGUUGUACAUUAAUAAAGUUCUGUAUUGUCUGAAUUAA
Long non-coding RNA from Oncorhynchus nerka (sockeye salmon), 371 nucleotides. RefSeq lists it as uncharacterized. The record is from RefSeq and is a predicted model, not a curated record. The transcript has 3 exons. NCBI's taxonomy places the organism in Eukaryota, Metazoa, Chordata, Actinopteri, Salmoniformes, Salmonidae.